Molecule: ribosomal RNA, 468 nt
Filed under: uncultured bacterium
Lineage: Bacteria
Description: partial 16S ribosomal RNA
Rfam family: Bacterial small subunit ribosomal RNA
Source: RNAcentral
GACGAACGCUGGCGGCGUGCUUAACACAUGCAAGUCGAACGGAAAGGCCCUGCUUUUGUGGGGUGCUCGAGUGGCGAACGGGUGAGUAACACGUGAGUAACCUGCCCUUGACUUUGGGAUAACUUCAGGAAACUGGGGCUAAUACCGGAUAGGAGCUCCUGCUGCAUGGUGGGGGUUGGAAAGUUUCGGCGGUUGGGGAUGGACUCGCGGCUUAUCAGCUUGUUGGUGGGGUAGUGGCUUACCAAGGCUUUGACGGGUAGCCGGCCUGAGAGGGUGACCGGCCACAUUGGGACUGAGAGACGGACCAGACUCCUACGGGAGGCAGCGGUGGGGAAUAUUGCACAAUGGGCGGAAGCCUGAUGCAGCAACGCCGCGUGCGGGAUGACGGCCUUCGGGUUGUAAACCGCUUUCGCCUGUGACGAAGCGUGAGUGACGGUAAUGGGUAAAGAAGCACCGGCUAACUACGUG